Molecule: transfer RNA, 77 nt
Filed under: Blumeria graminis f. sp. tritici
Lineage: Eukaryota; Fungi; Ascomycota; Leotiomycetes; Helotiales; Erysiphaceae
Also listed under: 1 other name
Rfam family: tRNA
About the family: Transfer RNA (tRNA) molecules are approximately 80 nucleotides in length.
Source: Rfam by way of RNAcentral
GCCCUCGUAGCUCAAUGGUAGAGCGCGUCACUAGUAGUGUAAUGACGAGGUUGCCGGUUCGAUUCCGUCCGAGGGCA